CGGGGUGCAGCAGGCGCGAAAACUUUGCAAUGCGGGAAACCGUGACAAGGGAACUCUGAGUGCCCGUAAAAUCGGGCUGUCCAUCGGUUUAAAUAACCGGUGAAGAAAGGGCCGGGCAAGACCGGUGCCAGCCGCCGCGGUAAUACCGGCGGCUCGAGUGGUGGCCACUAUUACUGGGCUUAAAGCGUUCGUAGCUGGUCUGUUAAGUCUCUGGGGAAAUCUUCCGGCUUAACCGGAAGGCGUCUCAGGGAUACUGGCAGACUAGGGACCGGGAGAGGUGAGAGGUACUCCAGGGGUAGGAGUGAAAUCCUGUAAUCCUUGGGGGACCACCUGUGGCGAAGGCGUCUCACCAGAACGGCUCCGACAGUGAGGGACGAAAGCUGGGGGAGCAAACCGGAUUAGAUACCCGGGUAGUCCCAGCUGUAAACGAUGCGCGUUAGGUGUAUCGGUGACCACGAGUCACCGAGGUGCCGAAGAGAAAUCGUGAAACGUGCCGCCUGGGAAGUACGGUCGCAAGGCUGAAACUUAAAGGAAUUGGCGGGGGAGCACAAGGGCGAUUCGCG
Molecule: ribosomal RNA, 563 nt
Filed under: uncultured archaeon
Lineage: Archaea
Description: bacterial SSU rRNA
Rfam family: Archaeal small subunit ribosomal RNA
Source: RNAcentral